CUUGGUUCUUUAUUUAUUUUUGUCCUGAAGCACUAUAUAGAAUAGAAACAGGACUACAUGCCAAUUUAUUAGCACAUUAUUUAAGUUUAAUUUAAGUCAUAAAAUACAGAAAUUUCUUACGAGAAAUUUCGGUGAUAGAAUUAAAAAUUCUUAAUUGAUAAAUUGACUAUAUAAU
RNAcentral lists this non-coding RNA (175 nucleotides) under unclassified sequences. RNAcentral describes it as "RT-16 RNA". The stretch from base 23 to 175 matches the Rfam family "RT-16 RNA". Rfam says of the family: candidate division DUSEL4 (Archaea). Nearby to self-splicing intron genes The record is from Rfam by way of RNAcentral.